AGUGAACGCUGGCGGUAGGCCUAACACAUGCAAGUCGAACGGCAGCACAGUAAGAGCUUGCUCUUACGGGUGGCGAGUGGCGGACGGGUGAGGAAUACAUCGGAAUCUACUUUUUCGUGGGGGAUGACGUAGGGAAACUUACGCUAAUACCGCAUACGACCUACGGGUGAAAGCAGGGGAUCUUCGGACCUUGCGCGAUUGAAUGAGCCGAUGUCGGAUUAGCUAGUUGGCGGGGUAAAGGCCCACCAAGGCGACGAUCCGUAGCUGGUCUGAGAGGAUGAUCAGACACACUGGAACUGAGACACGGUCCAGACUCCUACGGGAGGCAGCAGUGGGGAAUAUUGGACAAUGGGCGCAAGCCUGAUCCAGCCAUACCGCGUGGGUGAAGAAGGCCUUCGGGUUGUAAAGCCCUUUUGUUGGGAAAGAAAAGCAGCAGGUUAAUACCCCGCUGUUCUGACGGUACCAAAAGAAUAAGCACCGGCUAACUUCGUG
This 492-nucleotide ribosomal RNA is filed under the name uncultured bacterium. RNAcentral's name for it is "partial 16S ribosomal RNA". It matches the Rfam family "Bacterial small subunit ribosomal RNA", at positions 29 to 507 of the family's 1533-position model. The record is from RNAcentral.